RNAcentral lists this transfer-messenger RNA (234 nucleotides) under Muribaculaceae bacterium. Its description in RNAcentral is "partial transfer-messenger RNA". It matches the Rfam family "transfer-messenger RNA", at positions 1 to 199 of the family's 374-position model. From Rfam's summary of the family: Bacterial tmRNA, also known as 10Sa RNA or SsrA, is named for its dual tRNA and mRNA-like properties. Its role is to liberate the mRNA from a stalled ribosome. The record is from RNAcentral. Lineage: Bacteria; Pseudomonadati; Bacteroidota; Bacteroidia; Bacteroidales; Muribaculaceae.
GGGGAUGACCGGUUUUGACAGCGUGUAGAAGUGGUACGUAAGCAUGCAGAGCGAUGAUGCCCACGCUCUUUAAUCAGAGACAUCAAAAAUUUAAAUGGCGAAAAUAACUACGCUCUUGCUGCCUAAUCGAAGUACAGUAGAUUGCGCUUAAUCUCCACAACAGUUGCAGAGACAAGACAUCGCCCGAUUGUCGUCGUCCCGAGACUAAUCGACAAGGCGGUGCAGGUAAAUCGG